CCCUACGGGACGCAGCAGUCGAGAAUCAUUCUCAAUGGGGGAAACCCUGAUGGUGCGACGCCGCGUGGGGGAAUGAAGGUCUUCGGAUUGUAAACCCCUGUCAUGUGGGAGCAAAUUAAAAAGAUAGUACCACAAGAGGAAGAGACGGCUAACUCUGUGCCAGCAGCCGCGGUAAUACAGAGGUCUCAAGCGUUGUUCGGAAUCACUGGGCGUAAAGCGUGCGUAGGCUGUUUCGUAAGACGUGUGUGAAAGGCGCGGGCUCAACCCGCGGACGGCACAUGUUACUGCGAGACUAGAGUGAUGGG
Molecule: ribosomal RNA, 305 nt
Filed under: uncultured bacterium
Lineage: Bacteria
Description: bacterial SSU rRNA
Rfam family: Bacterial small subunit ribosomal RNA
Source: RNAcentral